Cebus imitator (Panamanian white-faced capuchin) is the source of this 568-nucleotide long non-coding RNA. RefSeq lists it as uncharacterized. The record is from RefSeq and is a predicted model, not a curated record. NCBI's taxonomy places the organism in Eukaryota, Metazoa, Chordata, Mammalia, Primates, Cebidae. The transcript has 3 exons.
CUUUUCCCCUUCCCUCCCACACAAUAACUGGAUGACUUGUCCAGAUCUUAGGCAACAAUUCUCUUAGCACAUCAGCUCCUGGAAACAAAUGCACUUAACCAGAAAAAUAGGGACAUCGACCAGCAAAGACGCAUCCUUAGUUAACAGAGCCUGAAAUUACUAGAAUCUGUAAAGUACAGUGAGGAAAAGAAGUUUCACCUGCCUGCACCAUCAGUCGUUGACUCUCCAUCUGACUUGGAGGGACUCUGAGGGACCGACCUGAGCCUGAGAAGAGAUUCCCCUUCAAGAACACACUGGGAACUCACGAACCGCCUUCUCCGUGGUGCAGAGCGCAGAGGAGAAUCCCGGCCCCGGCGUCUGGUUCUCGCGAUACCCGGCUGCGGCCGCGGGCUUUCCACCCCUCCACGGCCUCCGUUUUUUUUCCACCUUCAUGCGCGGAAACGAUCCGACCCGCCUAUCCGUAUUGGGAGUGCAUGGGGACUCCCCUGAAGUCCUGCAAGGUCUUGACUGCAGGUUCGCAGGAAGCGGUAGAUGGACAGGGAUGGAGCUGGAAGCCAUUAUCCUCAGC